This 331-nucleotide ribosomal RNA is filed under the name uncultured eukaryote. RNAcentral's name for it is "partial 18S ribosomal RNA". It matches the Rfam family "Eukaryotic small subunit ribosomal RNA", at positions 1470 to 1796 of the family's 1831-position model. The record is from RNAcentral.
CCCUUAGAUGUCCUGGGCCGCACGCGCGUUACACUGAUGCAUUCAACGAGCUUAUAACCUUGGCCGAGAGGCCUGGGCAAUCUUGUUAACGUGCAUCGUGAUAGGGAUAGAUUAUUGAAAUUAUUAAUCUUGAACGAGGAAUUCCUAGUAAACGCAGAUCAUCAAUCUGCAUUGAUUACGUCCCUGCCCUUUGUACACACCGCCCGUCGCUCCUACCGAUUGAAUGGUCCGGUGAAAAUUUCGGAUAGUGGCGAUGCUGGCGGUUCGCCGCCGGCGCUGCCGCUAGAAGAUCUUUAAACCUUAUCAUUUAGAGGAAGGAGAAGUCGUAACA